CAAGUAAAAAAGAGAAGAAAUGAAGACAAAGGCACGUGAACUCGGAAUGAGUAACGUGCCUUGACAGUUUUCUUUUCUUUUCUUUUU
RNAcentral lists this microRNA precursor (87 nucleotides) under Trypanosoma vivax Y486. The record is from RNAcentral. Lineage: Eukaryota; Euglenozoa; Kinetoplastea; Trypanosomatida; Trypanosomatidae.